Molecule: unclassified non-coding RNA, 174 nt
Filed under: fungal sp.
Lineage: Eukaryota; Fungi
Description: partial contains small subunit ribosomal RNA, internal transcribed spacer 1, and 5.8S ribosomal RNA
Rfam family: Eukaryotic small subunit ribosomal RNA (bases 1-46)
Source: RNAcentral
AAGUCGUAACAAGGUUUCCGUAGGUGAACCUGCGGAAGGAUCAUUACUGGUUUUAAAAUAAUGAAAUGGAUUCGAAGAGUUCAUUUCAUUAUUUUACAUUUGCGCUUGUGUUGUUUGACAGAGUAACCUUUGGAUAAAUUUAGACAACUUUUAACAAUGGAUCUCUUGGCUCUU